This 692-nucleotide ribosomal RNA is filed under the name Punctelia hypoleucites. Its description in RNAcentral is "SSU rRNA". It matches the Rfam family "Bacterial small subunit ribosomal RNA", at positions 486 to 1140 of the family's 1533-position model. The record is from RNAcentral. Lineage: Eukaryota; Fungi; Ascomycota; Lecanoromycetes; Lecanorales; Parmeliaceae.
AUGUGUCUUGACCAAAUUACGUGCCAGCAGUCGCGGUAAUACGUAGAAGACUAGUGUUAUUCAUGUUUAAUCGGUUUAAAGGGUACCUAGACGGUAGAUCAAGCUUUUUCAUAUAAAUUAUGAUAAUUAAAGGACUAAUUUACUAGAGUUACUUACGAGGGGGUAUUAAAGUACUGCUGGUGUAGAGAUGAAAUUCUGUCAUACCUCUUUUCCAAAAGAAAAAUCAUGGCACAGGUAUAGGCGAAGGCAUCCCCUUAUGUGAUAACUGACGUUGAGGGACGAAGGCUUUAUGUAACAAACAGGAUUAGAUACCCUAGUAGUUGAAGCAGAAAAUGAUGAAUGUCAUAGAUUAGAUAUAUAAGUUUAUUCUAUAAAUGAAAGUGCAAGCAUUCCACCUCAAGAGUAAUUUGGCAACAUUGGAACUGAAAUCAUUAGACCGUUUCUGAAACCAGUAGUGAAGUAUGUUGUUUAAUUUGAUGAUCCGCAAAAAACCUUACCACAAUUUGAAUAUUUAUAUUUUUUUUAUUGUUUUCUUCUUAAUUUUCUUCUAAUAACAAAAAGAAGAGAGUUAAUAAAUAGGCAAUAAUAUAUAUUUACAAGCGUUGCACGGCUGUCUUCAGUUAAUGUCGCGAGACUUUGGUUAGUUCCAUUAAUUAACGUAAACCCUUACUUUAAUUUUAUAUAGAGUACUU